UAGCUCAGCCGGUAGAGCAGCUGGCUUUUAAUCAGUAGGUUGAGUGGUCGAUUCUCGC
Brugia malayi is the source of this 58-nucleotide non-coding RNA. Lineage: Eukaryota; Metazoa; Nematoda; Chromadorea; Rhabditida; Onchocercidae. The record is from Rfam.